This 2693-nucleotide long non-coding RNA is filed under the name Nicotiana tabacum (common tobacco). RNAcentral describes it as "long non-coding RNA (NTAB_LNC010085)". Lineage: Eukaryota; Viridiplantae; Streptophyta; Magnoliopsida; Solanales; Solanaceae. The record is from RNAcentral.
GUAUACAUGGAUAUACGUGUGAUAAACAUUUGAUGCAAAUAUGAUAUAUAUGUGAUACACAAAUGAUAAACAAUAUAAUACACAAAAAAAAAUUCAUGUUUCAUCUUCUACUUCGCAUUUUCAAUUCAAACUACCUCAAAACUCCGCCAAAUCAUCCCAAAAUUGAGAUUCAAACUUUCUUAAGAUGUACUCAAUCCAUUCAAAAGAAAGCAAAACUUUAACCUUCUUUUGUUACAAAUAGCUAAUUGGCUAAUAUUGGUAAUAUUAGUAAUAUUUAAUGAAUCGGCCAAUUGUUGUAAUUAGCUACUUAUAAAUGGACAUAAUUGAUAGUUUCCUUUAAAAAAAAAACAAAUGAUCCAUAUCUCUACCUUUUAAAUGGAUAAGUAAUACUUACUACAAAACUAAAGAAAACUUUAAAAAAAAAACUAGCACCGAGCAAAACACAAUAAUAUUAAUUUUAGGCUAAUAAAUUAAAAUACAUGGAUAGAUCUCCUUUUACUUAACAAAUUGUUACUCCCCAAACUAAACCACCCAACUCAUCUGCUAAAAGAGAAAAUGCAUAUUCACUUACUAAGAUUAUAGACUUGACUAAUUAGUUCACUCCAACACUCAAAAGUCGAACUUAAUGAACUAUGCUAAAAUCUAUUAACCUUCAAACACCUCUUUUUAUAUCGUGCUUACUCUAACUAAUUUAACUUGAACAUUGGUCAAUUUUCGUUUAGCUCUAGUAUCCGAACAGUGAUGGCAUGAGCCUCCCAGAAACACCUAACAGUAGUACAUGCUUAUAAACACCUCCUCUUUCGAGAAUUAGACAAAGAAAUCAUGUCAAAGCAAUAAUGGCUAGUAUAUGAUCUUUUCCGUGACUAAACGAGAUUAACAGAGUGCUUCGACUAACAUUUAAGGAAGAAUAAAAACUUCAAGCUAUCAGUUACAUAUUCACAUACUUGAGCCAUACAUAAAAACGUUAAAGCACUUAAACAAACUCAUAAAAUGAAAUCAAGUGCAUCCCAGCAAUCUAAACAGAUUCAAAUCUUCAGUUAUUGCUAAACAAAAUCUGCAUUACAAGUUUUUAAGAGUUACCUAUAUUGUAGAAAAUCGCAAAUACAGCAAUAAGAACUGAAGGUCAGCAAAAUGAACUGUGUAAAAGGCCUACAAACAGUAACUGACCAGCAGCUUAUGAUCCAAAACUUAACCCAGAAAUUUCAGCAAAAUAAGCAAGGAAAGAACUAGUGAACUGACUUAAGAACCUUUCUUUUGGACAGUUGUUGUUCUCCGAAUACUCACUCAAAAGCCCUCAAAUUUCAGCUUAGUUUUCUUAUGUUCAACUGAUCUUUUUCUCUCUUCUAAGUUGUGUUUUUGCUUAGAGUGUGAGAUGUCUAAGUGUAGAAUGUCUUCCAGUGUGAUGGAGAGUGUCUAAUUGAGUGAGAGGAGACCCCUUUAAGUAGGAAAAACAAGCACCUUUGGACAGAUUUUGGUUGAGCAAAAAUCUAUCCAAAAGACUUACUUUUCACCAAAAAACUGUCCAAGGACUGUCCAAAUAGGAGAAAGGACAAUCUUUUACACUAAAUUCAGACACAAAAGGAGUAGUUGUACUCUUAGCAUGAUUGAAAUAGUAGAAAGAAACUACUAUGUACCUAACUGAUUAAUCCUCUAUCACCCUUCCCUCAUUCUUUCUGCUCAAUUCAAAAUCAUAUAGCCAAACAACUAAAAGACUAUACUUUACCAAUUUGAACAUAUAAGAGCCACAAAAAGACUAACAUGAUUUGCAAAAUACUUAACUAAAUCAGUCAACGAACUAUACUAAAUAGCUAACUUAAGAGAAACAAGUGCUAAUUACAUCAACUAGUUCGAAUUGAUUUAUCACGAUCAAGCAUAUAAUCAAACUACGCUACUAGUUGCAAGCUAACAGAGGUGAGCGGAAAGUACAAUAAAUGAUACAAUUAAAGCUAGAUUACGUUGUUUGAACAAAUUAACACACGAUUAAACUAAAAGCAAAAAUCAUAAACGAAUAAGAACCAAACCAAAAGAAAACGAGACACCACUUCAAUUCUACGCUAAAACUAAAAUACAAAGCAAGAACAGAAGAUAAGAUAAAAAAUAAUUUUUUUAAAAAAAAGGAAAAGGGAAUAGGGAAUACCAUAAGCUCGGUUCUGCAACGAGGCAGCCGACUCGAGCACAUUUUUCUUUGAGAUAAAAUGCCACUGUAAUUUCCUUGGCAGGCGGCCAUUGAAACUAGCAUUUUUAUCUUGAAGAAAAACGUGCCUAGGUCUAGAAGAUGGCUUCGGACAGUCGGGUCAUCUGGUAGUGAAGGUGGUGGGACGGUAGUGGUGGUCGCCGGAGUCCGACGGUAGUGGAUGGACUUUCAGGAUGAAACUAAGGGUAAAGGGUAGACCUCAAAGAGACCUACCCGUUUAUGCUUGUAUCGUAGGGUAAAGAUGGUUCAACCUUGAUGAAACUCAAAAAUAGAAGAAGGCUAGGGCUUCGGAUUUGGGUAGAUCUAUGGAGAUUUGGAGGAUAUGAGGCUUGGAUUCAUGGAGAGGAGGUUGAGAGGAAGAAGUGGUAAAAAUAUAGGGUGGUUUGUACCAACACCGGCAGCGGCUCACGGUGGUGGCAGUGGCUGAGGGAUGGCGGAGCGGCGGCGGCUCAAAGAGUGAGGAGAGAGGAGAAAGGGAGAGUAAAAGGGGAAAUGGGGG